Molecule: long non-coding RNA, 1249 nt
Filed under: Ovis aries (sheep)
Lineage: Eukaryota; Metazoa; Chordata; Mammalia; Artiodactyla; Bovidae
Description: lncRNA (ENSOARG00000026618.1)
Source: RNAcentral
AUGACCCGGGGUGGGUGGUGGCCGCAGGCCGGGCUCUGGAACCUGUCCAAGAGGGGUGAAAUAUUCCAGCGUCAUGUCCAGGUGCCAACAAGAAAGCGAGUUUUAUUCUCUCUGGUCAGAUCGGACAGGUGCUGCGGAGGCUGGGGGUGCUGUGCUCAGGUGUGUGAAGAUAGGCAGCCUGGGAGUGUUUCCUCCGCCGCCUUCUCGUCAGACGGAAACCGGGUCCAGUUAAAGAGCCCAAGAGGAGCGUGGCUGGAAGCACAGCAGGGACUGGCUAGACAAACGGGAGCCAAUGACUGAUGCUAAAGCAGGAUUAAAAUGUAAAGGUGGUUACUGGAAGAAAGAUGGUGACUAUCAGCACUAAUGAUGAAGUUUAAUUCAUGGGAGGAGGGGCUCUAAAACCUGAGAGUAAGUCAGCCAAGGCAGGGGCCCGGAUGAUCACAGCCGUGCCCUCUGAAAGCACAGCAGUGAGGGACCCUGGGGAAGCCUCCAGCCCCACCAGGAGCCCCUGAGACCCAAACGCCACUCGCUCACUGUCAGCAGAGUCAGCAGAAAGAGAUGGUUUUGAUAAAACUGAAGUAAACAAGUUCAGAAAUAAAAGCUCCACGGAGGUGAUAAUUAAACCUGAGCUGGCUCUUUGAAAACAUUCUGUAAAAUGAACAAGCCCUGGAAAACGUGAUGGAGAAGAGUCAGUCCCCCGCUCCCCAGAAAAAGUGGAGGCAGGCGGGGUCAAGGGCGCGCUGGGCUCAGGUGGUGGUAGGGGGCCGCACCAAGGUGCCCCCGGUCCGGGUCAUUCUCGCCCCUCCGGCUGGAGGCAGUGGCAGACACACAGCUGAGCUCGGAGGAGACAUGGGUCAGAGCAGAGACUAAAAGGGGGCGGUGAGCCAGAGGGGAGAGGAUGGAGCCCUGGAACCGCGAGGGACGACCGUCCUGACGAAUAUCCCCAAACCAACCAGCUCACCGGGGACAUGAGCAUGAAAACCACCACCAUGACCAGCAGGUGGCCUGGGUCAGACCCCCCACCCCAGGUCAUGGGAGUGUGGGAACCUUUGCCAGCAUGUCCCCCAAACCUGGCCCACCCAGGAGAGGCUGGAGCGGGGGGAGGGGGUGGUCCCUGGCACCACACGGCAUGGGCCACCUGUAGUGGGUGGCCCAAGAGGGUCCUGUAGUCGAGACCCCAACCGACAGGCCUUAACCACUGAGCGCAGGGACGUCAAGGAUGUGAGAGCAGGUGACGGGUUCCGACGAG